Molecule: ribosomal RNA, 196 nt
Filed under: uncultured bacterium
Lineage: Bacteria
Description: partial 16S ribosomal RNA
Rfam family: Bacterial small subunit ribosomal RNA
Source: RNAcentral
GCNCCCUCCGCGCCCACUCAGACUCCUACGAGAGGCAGCAGUCGGGGAAUCUUGCGCAAUGGGCGAAAGCCUGACGCAGCAACGCCGCGUGUGUGAUGAAGGUCUUAGGGUUGUAAAGCUCUUUCAGUAGGGAAGAUAAUGACGGUACCUACAGAAGAAGCUCCGGCUAACUUCGUGCCAGCAGCCGCGGUAAUUC